AGUCCUUGGGCACCCUAUGUACCCCCGAAUUGAUAGGUAGCCAACCUGGCGGGAGUCGGCGGUGGAAGUACCCGCUUGGUACGGCUAAACACUUCUCUUUCUUCAAUUUGGUAUAGCUUCAGCCUUUUCGUGCCCCCUUUGAUCCGACCUGAGACCUCAUUUAGAGAGAUUGGCUUCGUAGCCUACAGUACUGUGAUCUCGAAAUGUAUUGGAUG
This 215-nucleotide long non-coding RNA is filed under the name Elaeis guineensis (African oil palm). Its description in RNAcentral is "long non-coding RNA (EGUI_LNC066099)". Lineage: Eukaryota; Viridiplantae; Streptophyta; Magnoliopsida; Arecales; Arecaceae. The record is from RNAcentral.